RNAcentral lists this long non-coding RNA (273 nucleotides) under Neodiprion pinetum (white pine sawfly). Its description in RNAcentral is "uncharacterized LOC124210647". Lineage: Eukaryota; Metazoa; Arthropoda; Insecta; Hymenoptera; Diprionidae. The record is from RNAcentral.
UAUUUUGCCCGUGAGCCCAUGGAGAACAGCCUCCAUCAUUCGUUCAAAGAGGAUCCAUUUCGACCUGCCAGUAUCCACUCUGAAGAUCUAUGGUGCUGAACCAAGUUGCACCAGCUAUCAGGUCGAGUGUUUCAUCGAUUCUGGGUAAAGGACAAUGCCGUUAAAACAUUCAGAGCCGGCGUCCGAAGACAAGAAGCAAGGCUGUGGGCCCUCAUGGCGGAGUCCCACUGAUUAUGUUUAGCAAUUGUAUUAAAUUGACGUUCAUACUCCGCC